RNAcentral lists this ribosomal RNA (473 nucleotides) under uncultured organism. RNAcentral's name for it is "partial 16S ribosomal RNA". It matches the Rfam family "Bacterial small subunit ribosomal RNA", at positions 335 to 799 of the family's 1533-position model. The record is from RNAcentral.
ACUCCUACGGGAGGCAGCAGUGGGGAAUUUUGGACACUGGGCGAAAGCCUGAUCCAGCAAUGCCGCGUGUGUGAAGAAGGCCUUCGGGUUGUAAAGCACUUUUGUCCGGAAAGAAAUCCUUGGCUCUAAUACAGUCGAGGGAUGACGGUACCGGAAGAAUAAGCACCGGCUAACUACGUGCCAGCAGCCGCGGUAAUACGUAGGGUGCGAGCGUUAAUCGGAAUUACUGGGCGUAAAGCGUGCGCAGGCGGUUUGCUAAGACCGAUGUGAAAUCCCCGGGCUCAACCUGGGAACUGCAUUGGUGACUGGCAGGCUAGAGUAUGGCAGAGGGGGGUAGAAUUCCACGUGUAGCAGUGAAAUGCGUAGAGAUGUGGAGGAAUACCGAUGGCGAAGGCAGCCCCCUGGGCCAAUACUGACGCUCAUGCACGAAAGCGUGGGGAGCAAACAGGAUUAGAAACCCCAGUAGUCCCAUG